AUGGCAAAAUAGAAAUACGAUAUUUUGAAUGACUACCUGUCCAGCGUUUCUUUUCACUUUCUCUCUCUUCCCUAUGCUUUCUCUCUCUUCCCUUGAAGUCUCUCUGCUGCGAUUUUACUACUUCGAUUUCGCGUCUCAAAACUUCGAUUAGCUAUUUCUUGUUGUUUUUGGAGAGGUGAACAGGCUGGUGUCAGUAUCGAUGAUGUUUUGCGCUUUUCAUGCUUUAGCAUUUUUGUUCCGAAAGGAGUUGGAUUUCUAUUUACUGAAAUUAUAGAAUUCAAUUUACUGCCGAGGUUGCUGCUGUUCUGCCAAGGCUACUGCUGCAGCUGCUGCCUUGCCAAGGCUGCUACUGCCCUGCCAUGUCUUGCUGCUGCUAUGCUACUUCUACUCUGCCACUUGCUGCAGCUAUGCUACUUCUGCUCUGCCGCUUGCUGUUUUAAAUGUUACUCUACGUUUAUAUUUUUGGAUGAAUGUGAAUAAAUUAUGUUACCUUGUAUAGUCGUAUUAUAUUUUUGGAUAAAUUUUGUAAUAUUACAGCCAUCUGUUAAUAUAAAUAUCCAAGUUAAAUAUAUGUUAGUGUUUGUACAUCAAUUAAAGUGAAAAAAUCCAAGUUUAUAUAUAUUUUUUAUUUA
Chenopodium quinoa (quinoa) is the source of this 632-nucleotide long non-coding RNA. RefSeq lists it as uncharacterized. The transcript has 3 exons. NCBI's taxonomy places the organism in Eukaryota, Viridiplantae, Streptophyta, Magnoliopsida, Caryophyllales, Amaranthaceae. The record is from RefSeq and is a predicted model, not a curated record.